GACGCCACGCAACCGUGCUCCCGCCAACCCCUCAACAUCAUCAUCAAUCUUCCCUCUCUCUCUCCCGCUUCUUACAACCACGCUUCUCUGUCUCUAGAAAUUAGGGUUCCCGACGGACACGAUGCCCUUGCCGCAUUUCGAGAAAGGGGACAAGGUGGAGGUUACCAAAGGAGACGACGACGACAACUCUUCUUCUUGUUGUUCAUGGUUCCCAGCCUCUAUACUCCGCCCAUUUCCAGCUAAGCACAAGGGCCAGAUUUACGUCCAGUAUGAAACCCACUCCGAGGAGGACGAUACUGAGACUGAGACCAAACGACGCCGCAGAGAGUACGUCUCUGCUUCCAAUGUCAGGCCUUCGCCGCCCCUGGAGCUACACCGCUACUUCAAAGUUGGGGAAAACGUCGACGCAUUUCACGACAAGGCGUGGCGGAGAGGAACGAUUAAGGAUAUACUCGAGGAGUCGAGGUAUGCGGUGUCAUUUGAGGGUGUGUUGGAGGAGCAGUUGGAGUUCGAUCAGUGGAACUUAAGGCUUCAUCGGGAUUGGGAGGAUGGCUCCUGGGUCCCUCCUUUCCACCACCAGGUCAUCCAACCUAAAGAAUUGAAAUUGAGGAUAAAGUUUAGUGGAACAAAGUCAGAUGCCAAGUUCAGCAAGGGAACAAUGGUGGAAGUAGGAGGCGUCAAAGAAGGUUUCCAGGUUUCUUGGUAUGCAGCGGUCAUUGUUGACUUAAUAGGGAUUGACAAGUUUUUGGUGGAAUACCAGACGGUGAAGACAUUGAAUGGCACUGCACUCCUCAAAGACAGUGUUGAUGCUUCUAAUAUUAGGCCUUGCCCCCCUGAAACUCCACAAAUCAGCCAUUUUAAAAAGUUUCAGGAAGUUGAUGCUUGGCAUAGAGAUGGGUGGUGGGUGAGUGACAUUGUUAACGUUCUUGAUGACUACAAUUACAGAGUCUACGUCAGGAGCACGAAUGAGGAAGUAACUCUUGAACAUUCUAAUUUGAGGCUUCAUCAAGACUGGAUUGAUGGUAAAUGGGUUACUGCUUCCAGGAGGUCAUCCGGGUUAGAGUUGAAGUCCAGAAAGAGAGACGUGGAGUUCAAGGUAAAGGUGGGUGGAAGAACGUCAAAGGCAAAGUUCAAGGAGGGGACACUAGUGGAGGUAAAAAGUGAUGACGAAGGUUACCAUGGUUCUUGGUUCACUGCAGUCAUUGUUGGCUCACUAGGGGAGGACAAGUUCUUGAUUGAAUACCAAACACUGAAAUCAGAGGAUGAAGCUCAAUUCCUUAAAGAGAAGACCGAGGCUUCACAUCUUAGACCUUGUCCCCCCGAUAUACAGCGGGUUGACCGUUUCAAACUUUUUGAGAAAGUCGAUGCUUGGUACAAUGAUGGAUGGUGGGUGGGUCUUGUCUCCAGAGUGCUUGAUGGCUUAAAGUAUGCAGUUUAUUUCUGGACUACAAAUGAAGAACUGGAAUUUGGGCAUUUUAGCCUGAGGCCUCAUCAAGAAUGGAUUCAUGGAAAAUGGGUUGCUGAUUUCCGGAAAAAGGCAUCUGUUUUGUCUCUGAAGCCCAGACCAGGAAAGUCGAAUUGCCAGAAUGGCUUAAUGACAGCAGAGGCAAACUACUUUUGCAAGGGGAUGAAGGUAGAGGUCAAAAGUGACAAAGAAGGUUUCUCAGGUUCUUGGUACCCAGCAGUCAUUAUAGGCUCUAUAGGGACUGGGAAGUAUUUGGUAGAAUACAGGACACUGAAAUCUGAUGAUGAAAACAAGCUCCUAAAAGAAGAGGCUGAUGCUCCAUGCAUCAGGCCUUGUCAUCCUGUAAUUCAAAGGAAGGAUCCUUUUGAACCACUUGAAGAAGUUGAUGCUUGGUACAAUGCUGCAUGGUGGGCUGGUGGUGUCUGCAAAGUCCUUAAAGGCUCAAAGUAUGAAGUCUACAUUAGGGGCACAAAUGAGGUAUUGGAGUUUCAGCAUUCUGAUUUGAGGCCUCAUCAAGAUUGGACUGAUGGAAAAUGGCACAUCCCUUGCAGGGGUCGGAAGUUGUAAUGAUCAAAUGAAGCAUAGAUGGUUAAUUAUUCCAGCCUGCAACCUUAUCUUCGUAGAGAAUGUGUUCAUCCUGGGUAUGAAGGGGAGCUAAACUAAUGUUGUAAAAGUCUUGAGCCCUGUUGACUCUACCUGUAGAAGGUCAACCACAUGAACUUCAAGGAAGGUGAACCAAAUGGAAAGCUUCUUCCCUUACCACUGUUGCAGGGAUUUAAUAGUUAAGCUCGUGGCAGCACAUCAUGGGAUUGAGGGGUCUCUGUCCUUCUUAAAGAGUGAGGCCAAAAAGUGGGCAUCUGAUUGUAACACCAUGCAGAAAGUCACAUUGUCAUUUGCCAGUGCGGGUCUGUGGUUUUUAUCAGGAGUAUACUCUUGUUGAGCAGAAUGAUGUGAUAGCCGCAAUUAUUUCCACAGAAUUGUACUCCCAGUUGUAUGGAUAACAGUGUGUUCUAUUUUCCUUGAGAAAUCGUGAACCAUGAGACUGGAUUUUUCAUAAAGAGAGAGUCUACACCCACUGCUGCAUUUCACCGCUCCACCCAUCGCUUGCUGACGUGGAGCGAAAUCCAACCAAAACCCACCACAAUUCUCUUGAUAUCCAACUUGAAUUCGAACAAGUGACCUAAUUUAUCAAUAAUAGCCUUGCAUACCGUGUAAAACACGUGACAAGCGGUGGCGGAGGAGUCGAGGUCGAAGUGGCGGGCGAGGGACUCGUAGGAGAGGCAGAAGAGGGCGGCGGUGAGGGCGGAGUCGAGGGGGUGGGAGGGGAGAGGGAGGAGAGAGAAGGGGUUAGGAGGAGGAGAAAGGAGGGUUUGGACUUGCGGAAGGAUUUGACCCAUCUGGGGUCGUAGUUAGAGGAGGAAGCAGUUGAACCAACAGGGGUGUUGGGGGGAGGAGAGAGAGGUGGACGUGGACGUGGACGUGGAGGAUGUAAAUGAUAAGGAUAAGAACCCUCCUUGAUAACAAACCCUUUCAAAUGUAGUUGUAGAUAUAGACAAGGAUAGUUUUUCAAAUGUAUUUUUCCACUUGUAAUAUGCAUCUCUUGUAGCCUAUUUAAUGGACUGUAUAGAUGAAUACAAAGUAAGAAAACAUAUUUGUUUACUCCAA
This is an RNA transcript of Rhododendron vialii, 3130 nucleotides long. It is a transcript of the gene named protein AGENET DOMAIN (AGD)-CONTAINING P1-like, with no coding region annotated. The transcript is spliced from 7 exons. The record is from RefSeq and is a predicted model, not a curated record. Lineage: Eukaryota; Viridiplantae; Streptophyta; Magnoliopsida; Ericales; Ericaceae.